This 253-nucleotide ribosomal RNA is filed under the name uncultured bacterium. Its description in RNAcentral is "partial 16S ribosomal RNA". It matches the Rfam family "Bacterial small subunit ribosomal RNA", at positions 524 to 776 of the family's 1533-position model. The record is from RNAcentral.
UACGUAGGGUGCGGGCGUUAAUCGGAAUUACUGGGCGUAAAGCGUGCGCAGGCGGUUUGCUAAGACAGGUGUGAAAUCCCCGGGCUUAACCUGGGAACUGCGCUUGUUACUGGCAAGCUGGAGUGUGGCAGAGGGGGGUGGAAUUCCACGUGUAGCAGUGAAAUGCGUAGAGAUGUGGAGGAACACCGAUGGCGAAGGCAGCCCCCUGGGCUAACACUGACGCUCAUGCACGAAAGCGUGGGGAGCAAACAGG